GGGCCCGCACAAGCGGUGGAGCAUGUGGUUUAAUUCGAUGAUACGCGAGGAACCUUACCAGGGCUUAAAUGUAGAACGACCGAUUUGGAAACAAGUCUUCUCUUUGAGCGGUCUACAAGGUGCUGCAUGGUUGUCGUCAGCUCGUGCCGUGAGGUGUCGGGUUAAGUCCCUUAACGAGCGCAACCCCUAUCUCUAGUUGCCAGCGGAUAAUGCCGGGGACUCUAGAGAAACUGCCCGUGCAAACGGUGAGGAAGGUGGGGAUGACGUCAAAUCAUCACGGCCCUUACGUCCUGGGCUACACACGUGCUACAAUGGUCGGUACAGAGGGCAGCUACCACGUGAGUGGAUGCAAAUCUCGAAAGCCGAUCUCAGUUCGGAUUGAAGUCUGCAACUCGACUUCAUGAAGCUGGAAUCGCUAG
This 419-nucleotide ribosomal RNA is filed under the name uncultured bacterium. RNAcentral describes it as "bacterial SSU rRNA". It matches the Rfam family "Bacterial small subunit ribosomal RNA", at positions 917 to 1338 of the family's 1533-position model. The record is from RNAcentral.